Molecule: ribosomal RNA, 253 nt
Filed under: uncultured bacterium
Lineage: Bacteria
Description: partial 16S ribosomal RNA
Rfam family: Bacterial small subunit ribosomal RNA
Source: RNAcentral
UACGGAGGAUGCAAGCGUUAUCCGGAAUGAUUGGGCGUAAAGGGUCCGCAGGUGGCAGUGUAAGUCUGCUGUCAAAGAAUGAGGCUUAACCUUAUCAAGGCAGUGGAAACUACACAGCUAGAGUACGGUCGGGGUAGAAGGAAUUCCUGGUGUAGCGGUGAAAUGCGCAGAUAUCAGGAGGAACACCAAUGGCGAAGGCAGCUCGCUGGGACGGUACUGACGCUGAGGCGCGAAAGCGUGGGGAGCAAACAGG